Molecule: ribosomal RNA, 249 nt
Filed under: uncultured bacterium
Lineage: Bacteria
Description: partial 16S ribosomal RNA
Rfam family: Bacterial small subunit ribosomal RNA
Source: RNAcentral
CCGGAUGGCGACCGGCGCACGGGUGAGUAACACGUAUCCAACCUGCCGAUGACUCGGGGAUAGCCUUUCGAAAGAAAGAUUAAUACCCGAUGGCAUAGUUCUUCCGCAUGGUAGAACUAUUAAAGAAUUUCGGUCAUCGAUGGGGAUGCGUUCCAUUAGUUUGUUGGCGGGGUAACGGCCCACCAAGACUACGAUGGAUAGGGGUUCUGAGAGGAAGGUCCCCCACAUUGGAACUGAGACACGGUCCAA